CAAGCAAAAGAUAUUAGAAGAAAAGGGCUUCAAGUGGCGUGUCUGUGGAGAAGAAGCUCAAGUUUGUAAAGCUUUGAAGCGUUUCAAUUUGAUGAAGCCAAGCCAACAACCGCAAGAACUGGUCGGUUUGCUUUGAAAGAUGGAGUGAAUGGAAGGUGAACAUUGAUGUUCUUCCUCAAUUCUCUAAAGAAAAAUAACAUAGCCCACAAUUCCUGUCAAUUCUCAACCCUAAAGAAUACAAGAGGCUCCAUUUGUGGUGGUGUCCCAACUGGAAGAUCGGAUCGAGAUCUAUUUGAGUGAAUAUGCGAAGAAAUGUUCUUCAAAAGUAUGUUUCUUCUUCCAAAUUCCUUAUCCAAUGCUGUAAAAUUAAGAUAUUUUAAUACAUAUCCUUAUGCUAUUUGUUCUGUAAUUUUAACAAUUAUGUGAAAUAAGAAAAAUGAGAACGAUCCUCACUUUCCGCAUCGAAA
Benincasa hispida (wax gourd) is the source of this 467-nucleotide non-coding RNA. The record is from RefSeq and is a predicted model, not a curated record. Lineage: Eukaryota; Viridiplantae; Streptophyta; Magnoliopsida; Cucurbitales; Cucurbitaceae.